GAUAUCUAUAUGACGUNGUAGANGUAGGAGAUCUGAUGACGGUCGUCCUUCAGCUGAUGCUGUGCUCAGCCCCGCUCUCAAAUCCACUCAACACCUGUGCACUUUCAAAGUAGUGGUCCUCCGUAAUGGGAGUUGUGGGUCUUUUGAUCUGCUGGGACUGCACUUUGACCCUUUAUUACAAUACUAUAUGCGCUGUUUCGUAUAAUGUAAAGCCUCAUAGUGGGUGAAAUUUAAUACAACUUUCUACANCGGAUCUCUUGGCUCUCGCAUCGAUGAAGAACGCAGCGAAAUGCGAUAAGUAAUGUGAAUAGCAGAAUUCAGUGAAUCAUCGAAUCUUUGAACGCACCUUGCGCUCCUUGGUAUUCCGAGGAGCAUGCCUGUUUGAGUGUCGUGAAAUCAUCAACUCCCUUCCUUUAUUGAAAGGCGAGCUUGGACUUGGGGAUUGCUGGUGUUCGGAUCAGCUUCCUUUGAAUGCAUUAGCUGGUAAGUCCAUNUGCAGCACUAUAGUGCGGUGUGAAUAUAUGUCAGUCACUGCUGCUAGCUCAGU
Molecule: ribosomal RNA, 547 nt
Filed under: Xylodon verecundus
Lineage: Eukaryota; Fungi; Basidiomycota; Agaricomycetes; Hymenochaetales; Schizoporaceae
Description: eukaryotic LSU rRNA
Rfam family: 5.8S ribosomal RNA (bases 238-391)
Source: RNAcentral